GGACGAUCAAGUUAUCAUUGGCUCCAAGAAGGCGAAGCAGAUCGCCAAGAGUAAGACGAGGCCCUCCAAUUCCACUGACGAUGGCUUCAACUCUUACGCCACCAACUUCCAGGG
Molecule: small nuclear RNA, 114 nt
Filed under: Mesodinium rubrum
Lineage: Eukaryota; Ciliophora; Litostomatea; Cyclotrichida; Mesodiniidae
Description: partial Dictyostelium signal recognition particle
Source: RNAcentral